RNAcentral lists this ribosomal RNA (407 nucleotides) under uncultured bacterium. Its description in RNAcentral is "partial 16S ribosomal RNA". It matches the Rfam family "Bacterial small subunit ribosomal RNA", at positions 28 to 526 of the family's 1533-position model. The record is from RNAcentral.
GACGAACGCUGGCGGCGUGCCUAAUACAUGCAAGUAGGACGCAGUUGCGAACGGGUGAGUAACGCGUAGGUAACUACCUAUUAGAGGGGGAUAACUAUUGGAAACGAUAGCUAAUACCGCAUACUAGUAGAUGGACCUGCGUUGUAUUAGCUAGUAGGUAGGGUAAUGGCCUACCUAGGGAACGAUACAUAGCCGACCUGGGAGGGAGGUCCGCCAAAAUGGGACUGGGACACGGCCCCGACUCCUUCGGGGGGCAGCAGUAGGGAAUCUUCGGCAAUUGGGGGAAACCUGAACGAGCAACGGCGCGUGAGUGAAGAAGGUUUUCGGAGCGUAAAGCUCUGUUGUUAAGGAAGCGGUACUUAACCAGAAAGGGACGGCUAACUCCGUGCCAGCAGCCGCGGUAAUAC